Molecule: unclassified non-coding RNA, 381 nt
Filed under: Anaphalioides trinervis
Lineage: Eukaryota; Viridiplantae; Streptophyta; Magnoliopsida; Asterales; Asteraceae
Description: partial external transcribed spacer
Source: RNAcentral
AAAGGUGCAUGAGUGGUGUUUGGUUUGUUACGGGUGGUUGGCUCUUUGCUUGUGCAACAACUUCCACCUGGCAUACCUCUUCAGUCUUGUGUCAAUGCUUGUAUUGCAUUGAAUGCACGAUGGGUUUCUUGUGUUGCAUGCCUAAUUGAUGGUAUCAUUUGAUGAAUUGAUGUCUAUUUCGUCUUGUGUCGCACAUGCGAUGUGAGAUGAACCUUAAAGCAGCCUUUGUGAUCCACUCUUUUGAUGCACACGCAUUGAUUUUGUGGCCUAUUGAGUGUUGCUUGGUCUCAUGGAUAUGGAACCUUGUGUGGGCAUGGGAUCUUUUACUAGUUCCUUGUUUUGCCCUAGUUAAGCUUUUCAAAUACGAUUUCCUAUCAUGUC